UAAUGUGAGAUCUGGUUCAGGACAAGCUGGAUAGCAAUUGAUGGCCAUUAGUUGAUUGCCUUCUUCAAUUUCCUUCUGUAAGUUGCCAAAGUUCAAUCCUAAAGUUUCUAAGAUGGCUUCCAUCAGUUGCUUGUGUAGCACUUGUACUGCCUUUGCGUAGUUUCCCAUUUUAUCCCUUAUGGAAAAAAUAGUUUAAAGUCAAUGCAUCACAAUAGUUUGAGAAUGAUUGGAAAUGCAUAAAAAACGGAAACCAUGUGUUGCUUCAACAGAAAAGAAAAAAAGACAAAAGGAGAAGCUAUAAUUUGUCUUUUCUAUUUCCUCUUUUGUUGUUUCUUCCUUCUGGAAGAUUUGGAAGGCAUGCAUUAUAGUUCUUAGACCUAGAAGAUGCCAAUUUUAGCCACAUUUAAGACUUAUGCUUAUGAAGUACCAAUCAGAAUUGCUCCUCUUGUGUUGUUUCCAAUUUUGCCCUUAAGAUGGAAGGUAAUUACUUCUAACAAAUAAUUUAAGAGAUCCAAGAUAAUGAUGGCUUGCUUACUUGUAACUUGGAGGAUUUGAAGGCCAUAGAUGGAUCCAAUCAGAAAUAGGGUGGGAGUAAUGCUUGAUGAAGUCUCUCCAAUAGUGAACUUUAUCGCUUGCAUGAUUCAAACUGGUACCAUACCUUACAGGGUUAUGCACAUUAUCUGAUAAUAGAGUCAUUUUCUCCUCGAGAGACAAGUUGAAAAACUCUGUUGCAGCAGCAAGGGCGUCAUGGAUGACGGGGAGAGGGAUGCCAUGGUUAACCACCUUAAAAAAAAAUGUGCGUGCUUUUAUGUGGACAAUAUUAUAUAAGCAUGCAUGAAUUAUGAUGUCUUGCUAUUAUAUGUAAUAUUAAAUUGUAUUGAAGCUUUUUCAGUAAGCAAGCAUCCCCCAUAUUGAUGUUGUGCUUUGUUGUCUGGGGUGUCAAGUAGAACAUAUAUGGUAUAUAUGGUAUAACUGUAAAUUUUCAAUUUAAACUCAUACACCCACAUACAUAUUGUGUGAUUCAGUUGGAAUGCUAAACCGAUAAACACACAAAAUAACAUUCAUAACAUCUAUCUUAUAUAUGCUGAAAAAAAUACAGUUACACUAAUGUAGACUUGGGGCUACAGUAAACUAAACUUGUUAACCCUGAAUGAUACCUGAAAGAACCCAAGUUCCUUACAGGCGCCUUGUAUCGUAUCAAGUGUUAGAGAUCUUUGAGAAGCAUGGUGUAAGGUGGAAAGGUCUACAAUGGGAAGGGUUGUGGUGAGGUCAAGUGCAAGGGUCGGACGUUGCGAUGGAGGAAGAACAUAGCGUUGAGGCACAUGAGGUACCCUCAUCUUGGUAAGUGUCAUUACACUAGUAAAUGGGUUAUCCGAGCAUUCUCCCUCUCCUUCCAUACUUGAUAUAUCUUUGCUAGUAAAUAGCGAAUGAUCAGUUGUAGCAGCCUGUUCUUCCUAUUUAUAUGCUAGACGUAACUAUCAGGUUAUGUACAGUUGCAAUGUAUAUUGAUAUGGAGCUGUGAUCUUAAACAUUAUAUGUUGCGUGUUGUUCAUAAAUGCGCAGGAAAGAAGAAUAUAGCAAGAGAAGCCACAGAAGAACUUUAAGCAUGAGGGCGUGAAAAGGACAAAGGUGAACGCGGGACCCACGCGAAAACGCUAUGAUGUUAAACCUGAAUGGGUACCGAAAACAAAGUUGCUAUACAUUUGGGGGCUGUGACACACACACACGCAAUUAUGGAGCUCGAAGAUGUUUUUAGUAUACCACCAUAUUUCUAAACGUCAGACAUGAGGCAUUUGUUCAUGUGGAAACUAGUGGAAGAAUUAAAAUAUUUAUAUAUUUUUUAACUUAUGCUGGUAUGAUAUACUGAUGUAGUUAACAUUGAAUUUGUAUCAAUUCUAUGCUGCUGCGUCUACCUUGUUUGAAGAUGAUGUUGAAAUUACAUCACUAACCCUCGGUUUCUUCUCUACUAG
This 1970-nucleotide long non-coding RNA is filed under the name Gossypium barbadense (sea-island cotton). RNAcentral describes it as "long non-coding RNA (GBAR_LNC021760)". The record is from RNAcentral. Lineage: Eukaryota; Viridiplantae; Streptophyta; Magnoliopsida; Malvales; Malvaceae.